RNAcentral lists this non-coding RNA (25 nucleotides) under Cricetulus griseus (Chinese hamster). The record is from RNAcentral. Lineage: Eukaryota; Metazoa; Chordata; Mammalia; Rodentia; Cricetidae.
UUCAGUGACUUUAGGACAAAUUAAU